Molecule: small nuclear RNA, 59 nt
Filed under: Aspergillus parasiticus SU-1
Lineage: Eukaryota; Fungi; Ascomycota; Eurotiomycetes; Eurotiales; Aspergillaceae
Description: U2 spliceosomal RNA
Rfam family: U2 spliceosomal RNA
About the family: U2 is a small nuclear RNA (snRNA) component of the spliceosome (involved in pre-mRNA splicing). Complementary binding between U2 snRNA (in an area lying towards the 5' end but 3' to hairpin I) and the branchpoint sequence (BPS) of the intron results the bulging out of an unpaired adenosine, on the BPS, which initiates a nucleophilic attack at the intronic 5' splice site, thus starting the first of two transesterification reactions that mediate splicing.
Source: Rfam by way of RNAcentral
CCAGCUCUCUUUGCCUUUUGGCUUAGAUCAAGUGUAGUAUCUGUUCUUUUCAGUUUAAU